RNAcentral lists this ribosomal RNA (480 nucleotides) under uncultured bacterium. RNAcentral describes it as "bacterial SSU rRNA". It matches the Rfam family "Bacterial small subunit ribosomal RNA", at positions 28 to 523 of the family's 1533-position model. The record is from RNAcentral.
GACGAACGCUGGCGGCGUGCUUAACACAUGCAAGUCGAACGGUAAGGCCCGCUUGCGGGUACACGAGUGGCGAACGGGUGAGUAACACGUGAGCAACCUGCCCUUGACUUCGGAAUACCAGCUGGAAACAGCUGCUAAUACCGGAUAUGACACGCACCUUCAUGGGUGGGUGUGGAAAGCUCCGGCGGUCAGGGAUGGGCUCGCGGCCUAUCAGCUUGUUGGUGAGGUAAUGGCUCACCAAGGCUUCGACGGGUAGCCGGCCUGAGAGGGCGACCGGCCACACUGGGACUGAGAUACGGCCCAGACUCCUACGGGAGGCAGCAGUGGGGAAUAUUGCACAAUGGGCGCAAGCCUGAUGCAGCAACGCCGCGUGCGGGAUGACGGCCUUCGGGUUGUAAACCGCUUUCAGUAGGGACGAAGCUCACGUGACGGUACCUACAGAAGAAGGACCGGCUAACUACGUGCCAGCAGCCGCCGUAA